This 264-nucleotide long non-coding RNA is filed under the name Ananas comosus (pineapple). Its description in RNAcentral is "long non-coding RNA (ACOM_LNC002059)". Lineage: Eukaryota; Viridiplantae; Streptophyta; Magnoliopsida; Poales; Bromeliaceae. The record is from RNAcentral.
AAUCUAGCUUACCUUCUCCUUCUCCUCCUUCCACACCUUCAACGAGCCGCGAGCACAGCCAGUAAACGGUCGCCGGACUCCUCCCCCAACACCGCCGCCGCCUCGACGUUUGGUGCCAAUCCCCCGGCGACCGUGGUGUCUCGUGCCUUAUCUCUUCGGGUGCUACGGCGGAGGAAGAGCGCGAGGGCUGAUUUCUAGGGUUUCGACGGGUUUAGUGAAGGGAGAAGAGGUGGUGAGGGGAGAAGAGGGAUACGACCCAGGAAG